Pelobates cultripes (western spadefoot toad) is the source of this 257-nucleotide non-coding RNA. The record is from the annotation of a GenBank genome assembly. NCBI's taxonomy places the organism in Eukaryota, Metazoa, Chordata, Amphibia, Anura, Pelobatidae.
UAUUAUACACUAUACAAAAAGAAUGAGGAGCAAGAAUCCCUGAAACACCGGGAACAAAUCCCCUCAAAACUAGUACCCCCUCUGGAGCAAUAGAAGUAUAUUUACCCACUAACCGUGUAUAACACAAAGUGAAAAAAUAAUAGAAAUAUAUUGAAAAACAUUAGAAGUCCCAUAUAUAAUAUCUAUAAUACACCAAACUGCUACAAACUAGGAAUAAAGGGACAUAGAGGAUCAGCCUGAAGUGCACAUAACUGAAU